UUUACAUUAUAUAUUACUAAAUUACUAACUGUGUGUCUACGGCCAUACCUAGGCGAAAACACCAGUUCCCGUCCGAUCACUGCAGUUAAGCGUCUGAGGGCCUCGUUAGUACUAUGGUUGGAGACAACAUGGGAAUCCGGGGUGCUGUAGGCUCCUUCUUUUUUAUUUACUAUUUGCUUGGCUUCUG
Molecule: non-coding RNA, 187 nt
Organism: Schizosaccharomyces pombe (fission yeast)
Lineage: Eukaryota; Fungi; Ascomycota; Schizosaccharomycetes; Schizosaccharomycetales; Schizosaccharomycetaceae
Source: the annotation of a GenBank genome assembly